RNAcentral lists this ribosomal RNA (253 nucleotides) under uncultured microorganism. Its description in RNAcentral is "partial 16S ribosomal RNA". It matches the Rfam family "Bacterial small subunit ribosomal RNA", at positions 524 to 776 of the family's 1533-position model. The record is from RNAcentral.
UACGAAGGGUGCAAGCGUUAAUCGGAAUUACUGGGCGUAAAGGGUGCGCAGGCGGUUCUGUAAGACCGGUGUGAAAUCCCCGGGCUCAACCUGGGAAUUGCGCUGGUGACUGCAGGGCUAGAGUACGGUAGAGGGGGGUGGAAUUCCUGGUGUAGCAGUGAAAUGCGUAGAGAUCAGGAGGAACACCGAUGGCGAAGGCAGCCCCCUGGGCCUGUACUGACGCUCAUGCACGAAAGCGUGGGGAGCAAACAGG